CCCUUAGAUGUCCUGGGCCGCACGCGCGCUACACUGAGUGUCUGAGAUACGAGUCUGCCUGGUCCGGCAAGGUCUAGGUAAUCGCUAAAAGACACAUCAUGCUUGGGAUAGAUUAUUGCAAAUAUUAAUCUUGAACGAGGAAUUCCUAGUAAGCGCAAGUCAACAGCUUGCGUUGAUUACGUCCCUGCCCUUUGUACACACCGCCCGUCGCUACUACUGAUUGGAUGUUUAAGCGAGGUUCUCGAACUGCUAGCGACUUAGCUUCGGUGAGGUCGCAGUGUGGGAAGGGAACCUAGCGUUGGUGUCUAGAGGAAGUAAAAGUCGUAACA
RNAcentral lists this ribosomal RNA (329 nucleotides) under uncultured eukaryote. RNAcentral's name for it is "partial 18S ribosomal RNA". It matches the Rfam family "Eukaryotic small subunit ribosomal RNA", at positions 1470 to 1796 of the family's 1831-position model. The record is from RNAcentral.